Molecule: ribosomal RNA, 498 nt
Filed under: uncultured bacterium
Lineage: Bacteria
Description: partial 16S ribosomal RNA
Rfam family: Bacterial small subunit ribosomal RNA
Source: RNAcentral
GACGAACGCUGGCGGCGUGCCUAAUACAUGCAAGUCGAACGAGAGCGACCGGUGCUUGCACUGUUCAAUCUAGUGGCGAACGGGUGAGUAACACGUGGGUAACCUGCCCAUCAGAGGGGGAUAACAUUCGGAAACGGAUGCUAAAACCGCAUAGGUCUUCGAACCGCAUGGUUUGAAGAGGAAAAGAGGCGCAAGCUUCUGCUGAUGGAUGGACCCGCUUUGCAUUAUCUAGUUGGUGAGGUAACGGCUCACCAAGGCCGUGAUGCAUAGCCGACCUGAGAGGGUGAUCGGCCACAUUGGGACUGAGACACGGCCCAAACUCCUACGGGAGGCAGCAGUAGGGAAUAUUCCGCAAUGGACGCAAGUCUGACGGAGCAAUGCCGCGUGGGUGAAGAAGGUUUUCGGAUCGUAAAACCCUGUUGUUAGAGAAGAAUAAGUGCUAGAGUAACUGUUAGCGCCUUGACGGUAUCUAACCAGAAAGCCACGGCUAACUACGUG